CUACGGGCGGCAGCAGUGGGGAAUAUUGCACAAUGGGGGGAACCCUGAUGCAGCAACGCCGCGUGGAGGAUGACGCAUUUCGGUGUGUAAACUCCUUUUAUAUGUCAAGAAAAUGACGGUAGCAUAUGAAUAAGCACCGGCUAACUCCGUGCCAGCAGCCGCGGUAAUACGGGGGGUGCAAGCGUUACUCGGAAUCACUGGGCGUAAAGGACGCGUAGGCGGGUUGGAAAGUCAGGUGUGAAAUCCUACAGCUUAACUGUAGAACUGCACUUGAAACUUCUAAUCUAGAGUAUGGGAGGGGGAGAUGGAAUUAGUGGUGUAGGGGUAAAAUCCGUAGAUAUCACUAGGAAUACCUAAAGCGAAGGCGAUCUCCUGGAACAUUACUGACGCUAAGGCGUGAAAGCGUGGGGAGCAAACAGGAUUAGAUACCCUCGUAGUC
This 439-nucleotide ribosomal RNA is filed under the name uncultured bacterium. RNAcentral's name for it is "partial 16S ribosomal RNA". It matches the Rfam family "Bacterial small subunit ribosomal RNA", at positions 339 to 795 of the family's 1533-position model. The record is from RNAcentral.